CAAGAUUCCGCUUUAAUCUUUGCAAAUUCCAUCGCCCUCUUAGAAUUUCUCUUCAUUAAGAUCUGCGCAGUGGUGAUUCCAGUUGUAGCAAUAUGGGAAGUAUUGACUUUCGCGAUGUCCGGAUGUUUUGAGUGCCGACAAUUGUAUACCACAGGAAGAAAUUGAUUCACGAGCGUAAUGAUUUUAGUCGUCUCUCCCAUGAAUCUCGAUGUAAUUUAAUUAUAAUUUUACCUUUUUAGAUUUAGAUUGAAUUAGUGUUUUCUCUUGGCAACAAAUUAGAUUUUGAAUAACUUUAUUUUUGCAGUUAAUGUGAAUGAAAUAGAGGCAUUAUAUGAAUUGUUUAAGAAGUUGAGUAGUUCAAUUAUAGACGAUGGAUUGAUACAUAAGGUAUGACUUUCCCUCAAAUGAUAUAUUUUCAACUAAGGUUCGAGCUUAUACAUAUUAUUUUAAGCUGAGCUCCUACUAAUGGGUUAUAUACACUUGGAUUUUCAGGAGAUAUUUAUGUGCUAAUACUCCCAUUUAUGCAUCCAGGGAACAAGAGAUUAUACGAACCUGAGUGGGGAAGUAACGAAUGAUGUGAAAAACCUUUGUCCUGAAUAGUUCUCUUGAAGCAAUCUCCAAUUCCUUUGUAUGGUUGUGCUGAUUUAAUAGAAGAUUUUUCAGGCUAAUUUUUUUUUAUCCCUUUUGUCCUGUAAAGUUUUGUAUGGGACUCGACUAUCCAUAUGCACCUUACUUGAUUAAGAGGUUUUAUUGAAUAAUUGUUCUGAUUUCUGUAAUUGCUAUAUUUAAAAAUCGAGAUUAAAUGGCAAAUGCUGCAGUAGUUUGGUUAUGUUGUUGAUGCAUGGUAUUCUUGUCAAAAACUAAUUAAAGCUAAGGGAAAAUUUUCAAGAUGAAUUUUUUAGUAAUAUGUUAUGUUUUGGUGCAUAAUCCAUUUAGCUUUGUGAAUCCAUUAUUACAUGCUUUCUGCAGUGAAAGAAAUAUUCAGAAUCAAAAUCAUUCGAGAAUAACUGCUUUUACAAUUGUAACUAAACUGCACCUUCAAAAUUUACUAUUGGUUAGUUUUAAAGAUCUCAGUUUGAGAUGUCAGAG
RNAcentral lists this long non-coding RNA (1089 nucleotides) under Olea europaea subsp. europaea. Lineage: Eukaryota; Viridiplantae; Streptophyta; Magnoliopsida; Lamiales; Oleaceae. The record is from RNAcentral.